CAGAGACACCUCUGCCCCAGCCCAGAAGUGCAGGCCACUGAGCCCGACUGUCCCCUCUGGAGCUGUCCUCGCCCAGCACCCGUUUCUGCCUGGAGGAGUGAAGGAGGACCUGAGCUCUGUUCCUGACUGAUGGACGCCUGAGGUGGGCAGUGCAGGCCCCGGCUGGCAGCUGCCACCGACCAGGACCAGGCAGCGAGGUGCUGGGCGGGGACAGUUUGACUUCCUCCUUUCCAGUUUGGAUGAUUUUUAUUUCUUUGGCUCUCGCUAGGAGUUCAGCACUAUAUUGAAUAAGCUCACACCUACGGGGAGUCAGCUUGCGUUGCCUGUUCAUCAGAAGAAAAGAAGAUGAACUGUGAAGGGAACCAGGCUGAGGAGCAGUCUCGAGGGCACGCAGGACCUCACCACAGGGCCUCUGUGUGCCACCUUCGACAGCGGACACAGGACCUGCACAGAAAGCCUUGGCCCCUUGCGGGCUCGGUGAGUGGCACAGUGGGGGAGCCCCAGUGCUUUGUCACAUGGGGCCUUCAAGGACAGCCAGGAGCUG
Long non-coding RNA from Heterocephalus glaber (naked mole-rat), 544 nucleotides. The record is from Ensembl. Lineage: Eukaryota; Metazoa; Chordata; Mammalia; Rodentia; Bathyergidae.